GUGCUCGCUCUGGCAGCACAUAUGCUAAAAUUAGAAUUAUACAGAGAAGAUUCAUAUGGCCCCCGUGCAAGGAUGACACACAAAUUCAUGAAGAAUUCCAUAUUUUU
Molecule: small nuclear RNA, 107 nt
Organism: Callithrix jacchus (white-tufted-ear marmoset)
Lineage: Eukaryota; Metazoa; Chordata; Mammalia; Primates; Cebidae
Source: Ensembl